Long non-coding RNA from Salvia miltiorrhiza (redroot sage), 468 nucleotides. RefSeq lists it as uncharacterized. The transcript is spliced from 3 exons. The record is from RefSeq and is a predicted model, not a curated record. Lineage: Eukaryota; Viridiplantae; Streptophyta; Magnoliopsida; Lamiales; Lamiaceae.
AGUUUCAUACCAAGAGCCAAAUCCUCCUCUAAAUCUAGCCUAAACACUUUCUAUUUCCUAAAAUUCAAGAGAUUCUUGAAAGUUUAGUCUUGGAGUUAGAUAGAGAAAGUUGUGUUGUUGGUGUUAUCUUGGACAUGAGUGGAGUGAAGGAGUAAGUUGCCCCUUUUCUAACAUGAGCUUGAGCUAAGUUGUUCAGGAUAAGCAAGGAGCGAGAUUGGUCCGGUGCUGGUGGGGAGUUGUUUCAUCUAAUGUUUUCUUUGACCGAAAUCCCAUUUUUGGUGAUAAAAUCUUAAUGAGGAGUUACUUUGUUCUGAAUCAAGCAAUUUACUCUCGGUUAUGUGUCUUCAUACAUAUAAUCGGUUCACCUUUUGCUGCGAUACUCUGAACCUUAUGUUUCUUCGUGAAUAUUGAGCUAUACCUACUUUGUAUUUGUUCAUGAGAAUCCUGAUAUUUAUGAAAUUAUGACGA